Molecule: small RNA, 30 nt
Filed under: Bombyx mori (domestic silkworm)
Lineage: Eukaryota; Metazoa; Arthropoda; Insecta; Lepidoptera; Bombycidae
Description: ovarian small RNA-27533
Source: RNAcentral
UCCGCGAGAACCGGGCGGACCGCCUCGAUA